This is a non-coding RNA of Podarcis muralis (Common wall lizard), 179 nucleotides long. NCBI's taxonomy places the organism in Eukaryota, Metazoa, Chordata, Lepidosauria, Squamata, Lacertidae. The record is from RefSeq and is a predicted model, not a curated record.
CCUGUGAGGCAGAGAGGCCUCCGUUGGACACCAGAGAGCGGCCACUGGGUGACAGAAUGAUGCCGGCAAAACCCCUUGAUCCGCCUUUUCAUGGGGGCAGAAGGGAAGCAGCGGCUGUGGAACCAGAUCAGGGUCCAGUGUGCUUUGAAGAUGUCGCUGUUCGUUUCACGGACGAGGAG